Long non-coding RNA from Meleagris gallopavo (turkey), 2021 nucleotides. Lineage: Eukaryota; Metazoa; Chordata; Aves; Galliformes; Phasianidae. The record is from Ensembl.
UAUAUUUGAGUUGCAUAAUAUAUAUAUAUAUAUAUAUUCACAACUGAUUGCCUCUGUGUUCCCACUUACUGUCCUUUCUUCUUUGUCUCCUUUUUUGAUAUUUGGGACGGCGGUGUAUUUACGUAAGGGGAUAUCAGCUCCCGUAUUUAAAGCAAGUGUAUUACGGUCGGUGUCAUAAGAGACAGAUGAUCUGUAGCUUCUUACAGUGCUGCAUUAUUCAUAGCAAACUCUUAUUUAACAACAGGACCACAAGCAAAUAUUUCUGUAAAUAGAUAUUUUCGUGUUGAUAUUUUGUGGUACUCAUAUAACUUUUUAUUUAGAGUUCCAUGGCAUUACUUCUUCAUUUUCUUAUUUGUAAUGUAAUGUUUUUAGAUCCAAGUAGACUUGAAUUAAUGUCAUAAUUGUCAGUAUUAUUAAACUUUAUGUCGACUGUACUGUUACUCAUCGUCCCAUAGGUUUAGAACACGAUAGCUAUCUGGCAUUGUUGCAAGUGCCUUAAAUCCAUGGCAUCCUAUAACAAAAUACAAAUUUGGUGUUAUGCUGCAUGACAAAGACAAACACACCUCAAAAUGUUGUCCUUUCUUAGCUUGCUGCGUUUUACAGUUCUUUCUGCUGACAAUUUAUAAGCCUUUAUUAUAUAAUAUUGAUGAAUUACAGAAAUGAUGAAGUCGUUCUCUUAUUUCUGUUAAAUGUACCAGAGCUGUGUAUCUGUUAAUGAGAUACAGAGUCAUUUCUGUGAAAUGUAUAAAUGUAUGUGCGGGUCAAAUUAAUAUAUGACAUCCUAUCAGUCUGUACACAGGUAUUCCUGUUCCGCUAUGCCGUGCAGCUCCAGCCCAUCGUGCAGUCCAGCUCCCAUCAUCUUUUAUAAACCCACAGUCAAUAUCCCGCCCAGAAAAAAAAGAUGAGCACCUGAAUGCGACUUGCCACCGAGUCUCUGUCAUGAAACCAAAUGCCCCCACAAAAGCAAGUGCCCCCCUGGGGGACGCAGCUCCAGGCAUUAGCAGCCAAAGGGAAAUGUCAUUCGGAGUUGUCUCGUCCUGAGUCCAAUCCAUACUGUUCUGACACUGGUCCUUUAUUUUUGUGUUCUUAUUUCUCUGAUUUUCGUAUUACGAUGGAUUCUACAUAAAAGAGUUUUUUGUUUGUCAGAAAAAAAAGUCUGUCAUUCAACGGUCAUCGACCACUUGCACUCUUUUGAUGUAGAUUUGAGAACUUUUUUCAUGAACUUAACCGCUUUUGUUUUGCUCUGUAUUUUCCCUGCAGCUGUAAUUGCUGAGUGCCUGUUGUAUACUUUAUAGAGUUGAAAUAAAAAUAAUUACUUUUGAGCAGCGCGUUGACAUCUGUCUUCAGCAGGAGUCAGCUUGGGGCUGGUUCUGCUGUUCGGUUGGGUUAUUUUACCCUUCUUUGUGGUGAUCUACAGUAGGAGAUAGUUAACCAAAGUGUUGUGUGACACUGCAGAGAGCUGUGGUUGCUGUGAUCAAAAGGCAGUGGCCAUGGGCACCCCAAUGGCAGGUGGGGGUCCUGCAUCGCACGUCAUGGGCAUCUCCAGCCCACAUUACUCCAUGAUCACUCUGUGCAAUAAGCAUCUUUACUGCACGUUUGCUCUUCAGGAGUGAACAAUACACCCAGUGUUUUAUGUGCUGCCAUUAGAAUCAGGAGCAGGGCAUGCAGGGCACAGAGACCCGAUGCCAGUUGUGAUCAACACCUACCCCAGAGUGGCUCACAAGUGAGGCUGUCCCUGUCCCUGCUGUCACGUGGGAAGUGCUGGGAGAGGAGAAGGCAAAAAGCUGACACUUUGCAAGGAUACAGGGCUGGUCUCCUCCUUCUGAGCGGAAUGCACUGGGGUCACACGGCGUAAGUGUGGCAAUGGGGUGCAAUGGCUGCUAGCAGCUGCAGCAGACACCAGGUUUUGGCCCAGUGGGACAUGAUGGUGAUGGGCCUGAUCCCCCCGGGGCUUGCUCAGGCGGCACCACCACGAGCCCAGCACCGCUGGGGCUGCAUUUUCUCCCAGAACAGUCCAUUUA